Phyllostomus discolor (pale spear-nosed bat) is the source of this 225-nucleotide long non-coding RNA. RefSeq lists it as uncharacterized. Lineage: Eukaryota; Metazoa; Chordata; Mammalia; Chiroptera; Phyllostomidae. The transcript has 3 exons. The record is from RefSeq and is a predicted model, not a curated record.
AUCGUCACGGCUGUCACCUAACGUGAAGGCUCAGCAUCAUCACUGGCCCAGGCUGAGGCCUGGCCACCCAGUGGGCGUGGCCUGUGACUGUGGGCCUGGAGCCCCAAAAGCCACGGAGCAGCCCCUCCCACAGAUAACCAGGCAGUGGACAAUUUGGAAAACGUAGGCGUGGACACAUAAAAAUGAGAAAUCUUUCGGAAUCUCACAGCCGUCAGCUCAGAGUGG